UGUUAUUUUAAUGGACAAAAAAUUUGCUUUUCUUUCAAAACAAGGACAAACAGUUUUUGAACGGUAGUGUAUAUUGUUCCUGAUAUUUGGAGUGUUGGUAAUAUGACACAGGUGAUUUUGGAGCGUUGGUAAUAUGACACAGGUGACUUUGGAGCGUUGGUAAUAUGACACAGGUGACUUUGGAGCGUUGGUAAUAUGACACAGGUGACUUUGGAGCGUUGGUAAUAUGACACAGGUGACUUUGGAGCGUUGGUAAUAUGACACAGGUGUAUAAAGAAUGCACAGUAGAGAGCACAUUCUCCAGGAAUAUCCAGCAAUAUUGGUCAUUGACAAUAUAUGACCAGGAACAAGAGUACAUCCUCCUGUGACAAUUAACCUGUUUCUGCAAACCAACUCUAGAUUGAAUCCAUGACAGUUCUGCUUUUAGUAAAGGUAUAUUUCCUCAAUGUUUCUGAAGAAUGAUUUACAUUGGUGUUGGUAUUUAAUUAUGUUGAGGGGAUCUUUCCUAAAUAUCUGUACAAGAUGCAGAUUUUUAUUUUCAGAACAAAAUGUUCAAUUUUACAUUUAGUUAUUUAAAUAAAAAAUGUUAUUUUUGUUGAAUGAUUAUAGAGUAAAAAACAUUUUAAAUGGUUGUAAACAAGUCAUGUUUCCAGAAAGUUAAAAAAA
Salvelinus sp. IW2-2015 is the source of this 666-nucleotide non-coding RNA. NCBI's taxonomy places the organism in Eukaryota, Metazoa, Chordata, Actinopteri, Salmoniformes, Salmonidae. The record is from RefSeq and is a predicted model, not a curated record.